This 492-nucleotide ribosomal RNA is filed under the name uncultured bacterium. Its description in RNAcentral is "partial 16S ribosomal RNA". It matches the Rfam family "Bacterial small subunit ribosomal RNA", at positions 29 to 507 of the family's 1533-position model. The record is from RNAcentral.
AGUGAACGCUGGCGGUAGGCCUAACACAUGCAAGUCGAACGGCAGCACAGUAAGAGCUUGCUCUUACGGGUGGCGAGUGGCGGACGGGUGAGGAAUACAUCGGAAUCUACUUUUUCGUGGGGGAUAACGUAGGGAAACUUACGCUAAUACCGCAUACGACCUACGGGUGAAAGCAGGGGAUCUUCGGACCUUGCGCGAUUGAAUGAGCCGAUGUCGGAUUAGCUAGUUGGCGGGGUAAAGGCCCACCAAGGCGACGAUCCGUAGCUGGUCUGAGAGGAUGAUCAGCCACACUGGAACUGAGACACGGUCCAGACUCCUACGGGAGGCAGCAGUGGGGAAUAUUGGGCAAUGGGCGCAAGCCUGAUCCAGCCAUGCCGCGUGGGUGAAGAAGGCCUUCGGGUUGUAAAGCCCUUUUGUUGGGAAAGAAAAGCAGCAGGUUAAUACCCCGCUGUUCUGACGGUACCCAAAGAAUAAGCACCGGCUAACUUCGUG